UACGAGGGGUGCAAGCGUUAAUCGGAAUUACUGGGCGUAAAGCGUUCGUAGGCGGUUUGUUAAGCAAGAUGUGAAAGCCCUGGGCUCAACCUGGGAACUGCAUUUUGAACUGGCAAGCUAGAAUACUGUAGAGGGUGGUGGAAUUUCCAGUGUAGCGGUGAAAUGCGUAGAGAUUGGAAGGAACAUCAGUGGCGAAGGCGGCCACCUGGACAGAUAUUGACGCUGAGGAACGAAAGCGUGGGGAGCGAACAGGAUUAGAUACCCUAGUAGUCC
RNAcentral lists this ribosomal RNA (273 nucleotides) under uncultured bacterium. RNAcentral's name for it is "partial 16S ribosomal RNA". It matches the Rfam family "Bacterial small subunit ribosomal RNA", at positions 524 to 796 of the family's 1533-position model. The record is from RNAcentral.